Pelobates cultripes (western spadefoot toad) is the source of this 171-nucleotide non-coding RNA. Lineage: Eukaryota; Metazoa; Chordata; Amphibia; Anura; Pelobatidae. The record is from the annotation of a GenBank genome assembly.
GCAGACACAUUCCAGCCAAUCAGCAGCAGACCCUCCCUCCCAGACACUCCCACCUCCUGGACAGCAUCCAUUGUGAAGCUGCAUUCUUAGUGAGCUGUCCAGGAUGUGGGAGGGUCUGGGAGGGAGGGUCUGGGAGGGAGGGUCUGCUGCUGAUUGGCUGGAAUUUGUCUG